AUUGAACGCUGGCGGCAUGCUUUACACAUGCAAGUCGAACGGUAACAGGCCUUCGGGUACUGACGAGUGGCGAACGGGUGAGUAAUGCAUCGGAACGUACCCAGAGGUGGGGGAUAACGCAGCGAAAGCUGUGCUAAUACCGCAUGUGAUCUGAGGAUGAAAGCGGGGGACCGAGCAGCAAUGUUUGGCCUCGCGCCUUUGGAGCGGCCGAUGUCGGAUUAGCUAGUUGGUGGGGUAAAGGCCUACCAAGGCGACGAUCCGUAGCUGGUCUGAGAGGACGACCAGCCACACUGGGACUGAGACACGGCCCAGACUCCUACGGGAGGCAGCAGUGGGGAAUUUUGGACAAUGGGCGCAAGCCUGAUCCAGCAAUGCCGCGUGCGGGAAGAAGGCCUUCGGGUUGUAAACCGCUUUUGGCAGGAACGAAACGGUGUCCGCUAAUACCGGGCGCUAAUGACGGUACCUGCAGAAUAAGCACCGGCUAACUACGUG
Molecule: ribosomal RNA, 492 nt
Filed under: uncultured bacterium
Lineage: Bacteria
Description: partial 16S ribosomal RNA
Rfam family: Bacterial small subunit ribosomal RNA
Source: RNAcentral